This 1284-nucleotide ribosomal RNA is filed under the name uncultured bacterium. Its description in RNAcentral is "bacterial SSU rRNA". It matches the Rfam family "Bacterial small subunit ribosomal RNA", at positions 94 to 1399 of the family's 1533-position model. The record is from RNAcentral.
AGCGGCGGACGGGUGAGUAACGCGUGAGCAAUCUGUCCCAGACAGGGGGAUAACAGAUGGAAACAUCUGCUAAUACCGCAUAAGACCACGGAUGGGCAUCCAUAUGAGGUAAAAGAUUUAUCGGUUUGGGGUGAGCUCGCGUCCGAUUAGGUAGUUGGUGAGGUAACGGCCCACCAAGCCAGCGAUCGGUAGCCGACCUGAGAGGGUGAUCGGCCACAUUGGAACUGAGACACGGCCCAGACUCCUACGGGAGGCAGCAGUGGGGAAUAUUGCACAAUGGGGGAAACCCUGAUGCAGCGACGCCGCGUGGAGGAAGAAGGUCUUCGGAUUGUAAACUCCUGUUGUUGGGGAAGAUAAUGACGGUACCCAACAAGGAAGUGACGGCUAACUACGUGCCAGCAGCCGCGGUAAAACGUAGGUCACAAGCGUUGUCCGGAAUUACUGGGUGUAAAGGGAGCGCAGGCGGGAAGACAAGUUGGAAGUGAAAUCUAUGGGCUCAACCCAUAAACUGCUUUCAAUACUGUUUUUCUUGAGUAGUGCAGAGGUAGGCGGAAUUCCCGGUGUAGCGGUGGAAUGCGUAGAUAUCGGGAGGAACACCAGUGGCGAAGGCGGCCUACUGGGCACCAACUGACGCUGAGGCUCGAAAGUGUGGGUAGCAAACAGGAUUAGAUACCCUGGUAGUCCACACCGUAAACGAUGAUUACUAGGUGUUGGAGGAUUGACCCCUUCAGUGCCGCAGUUAACACAAUAAGUAAUCCACCUGGGGAGUACGACCGCAAGGUUGAAACUCAAAGGAAUUGACGGGGGCCCGCACAAGCAGUGGAGUAUGUGGUUUAAUUCGACGCAACGCGAAGAACCUUACCAAGUCUUGACAUCCCUUGACAGGCAUAGAAAUAUGUUUUCUCUUCGGAGCAAGGAGACAGGUGGUGCAUGGUUGUCGUCAGCUCGUGUCGUGAGAUGUUGGGUUAAGUCCCGCAACGAGCGCAACCCCUAUCCCCAGUAGCCAGCGGUUCGGCCGGGCACUCUGAGGAGACUGCCAGGGAUAACCUGGAGGAAGGCGGGGAUGACGUCAAAUCAUCAUGCCCCUUAUGAUUUGGGCUACACACGUGCUACAAUGGCGUAAACAAAGGGAAGCGAGCCUGCGAAGGUAAGCAAAUCCCAAAAAUAACGUCCCAGUUCGGACUGCAGUCUGCAACUCGACUGCACGAAGCUGGAAUCGCUAGUAAUCGCGGAUCAGAAUGCCGCGGUGAAUACGUUCCCGGGUCUUGUACUCACCGCCCGUCA